Molecule: ribosomal RNA, 253 nt
Filed under: uncultured bacterium
Lineage: Bacteria
Description: partial 16S ribosomal RNA
Rfam family: Bacterial small subunit ribosomal RNA
Source: RNAcentral
GACGUAGGGCGCGAGCGUUGUCCGGAAUUAUUGGGCGUAAAGGGCUCGUAGGCGGUUUGUCGCGUCGGGAGUGAAAACCCAGGGCUUAACCCUGGGCUGGCUUCCGAUACGGGCAGACUAGAGGUAUGCAGGGGAGAACGGAAUUCCUGGUGUAGCGGUGAAAUGCGCAGAUAUCAGGAGGAACACCGGUGGCGAAGGCGGUUCUCUGGGCAUUACCUGACGCUGAGGAGCGAAAGUGUGGGGAGCGAACAGG